UUGGUGGUCAGUUGUUGUGUGACUUGAAGCCGCGUCGGCACGUUUGCGUCCACCUCUUCCAUCAAAUCUAAUGCCGAGUUAACGAGAGGCCCCAUCUCUCGUCACUAGCGAAGGCAAGGCAACUACAGAAACUGAUAUCGUGCAAUCCAGAAAGAAUUUUGAAUAGAUGGACUGAGGGAAGAGAACAUCAUCGCUCUUUGGAACUGAUAAUCAGAUGCAAAAGCAGGCAUCGUAGAAGGCAAUCAGAGCUCGUUUUCGUUUUGUUCUCGAAUCGGACGUGUGUGUGUUGUUGUUUCUAGUUGUUUCAUCUCUCAAAAAACGAGGAAAAAGAUCGAGGGUUUGGGGCUGAAAAUCGACAACGCCUCCUGGACCUUACUCCUCCUUUUCGAUUUUGUUUUUGGUGUUCGGCAGAAUUGCCAUUGUGUGUCCCAGUCAACUUGACCUGAAGCUGUGCCUUAGCUUGUGCUAUUCGAUGCAGUGAACCUUGAUUUCGCACUGAACCACAAAACCGAAAAAAAAACCGAAAAACGCAAAGAUGAGGCUCUUCCGGAGACGGGCGGAUGGCCAGCACCAACCGUUGCACGAGACAAACAGCACGGGAGGUCCAGAAGCAGCGGCGCUCUUGAUUUCGAUGGAAUCGACUGGCAGCGGCAGCGGAACUGAUGGUGAUCAGCUGAGUGUCAGCAGCCGGAGCGAAAGAGAAACGCUGGACGACAAAAGUUAUCAAACCGUCAAAGCUCUUCCGGCCAUCGUCGUCAUCAAUUCGCCCAAAGGCAGCACCAAGAAUAAAGGUGGGCCAUCGACAUGGGGCAAGAAGGUCGGUCGCAAGUGGGAACAGAAUAAGAAAGUGGUGAGUCAGCCGUCAGCAAACGUCAGCGAUUCGACUCCUUUGAUGGAUGGACAUCAAGGAGAAGGAGACGGACCGGUGGAACCGGUGCCGACAUGUUCGUCACCAACGGCACUUUUAGCCGAAAAUGCUUCGAGUCAGUCAUGCGAGGGCGUGGCCCCGGCGACGAGCGGCAAGAAAUUGCUGCAGCCACAACAGCAACGAUGCAGACCGGCUGUCGUGGUGCUGAAUAACAAGACGGGCGCCAAGAGACGAGUGAGUCGGGUCGAAUCACUUCGCAACUUGUUUUUGCGCUCGUCGAAACCUUCGACACGUGCCGAUCCGGCUCUGCAACACGCGGCGCACCAAGAGGCCACUCAUCCGCUGAUGCUGGCGCAAUUGUUGGCUGCCACUCCGGACGUGAUUCAAGAAGCGCAAAAGAAAACAAUUUUGAUUCGAGAGAGUAGCAUCAGUGGCACGUCCAGCAACCGUUUAAUGCCGCUGCCUAAUCGCUCCGUCAGUUUGGAGAACGUCUCGGCGUCGAGCGUCAUGGGCCACAUGCAGCCCGAUGUUGCCGGAACGGUCAGCAAGAAGAGCCAUUUUCCUUACUCUUUCAUUCGUUCGCGUCUUCAUCGGCCUCUGUUGUCCUCCAGCUGCGAGGCUGAGGUGGAAACGGCCAGCGCCGACAUCGCCAGUCGCCAUCCGGUUACUUGCUCCAAGUUCGGCACGGAAUUGAACGCCAACACGAACCGCCAGCUGCGACGAUUUGAUUAAAGAAGCAGCGCGUCAGUCCUCUCACCCGGAUCUUCAGCUGGCCUCGAUCCGCUAUCGGAGCGUCGUCAGCGUCAGACACAAUCAGCAGGAAGAAACGUUUAAAUUGGUGCGCAGAAAGCGGAGUUUCUCGUUGGCCGCUUUGCCGCUUUCGGCGGCGGAAGCGACGCAACAAGCGUUCGUCGGCCAACAGCCACCGAUCGGAGGAGAGCGGAUAUGAAAGCGAUUCCACUCGCAAUGGAUACGAGUCGCCGAGACGGACGUCGGCAGACAGUGGCAAGCCUGACCCAGCCAAUAGUAUCCACGUUUCGUUUGUUUCGUCUUUGAAGUCUGCGGAGCAAGAUCCGGAGGCGAAUGGACACCGUUCUCGUCCUACACCGACACCGACGAUGAACCGGUCGAUGGAUCAGAGCGACCGAUUUUCGUUGGACGAGCAUUACGACGCGGUGGAUGGUGCAGCGAGAUUGGGCCAGCCUCCGCAGAGAUGUUGUAAUUGCCGCUGCAACAACAAAAACAACAGCAACAGUCAACAAGCGGACAAUUUGAAACAAUCAAUUGCACGAAAGGAGCCGAGUGUCAUGUUUGGUGUGGCUCAAUUGAGAUCGCUGGAAACGGGUGGAUCACGAAGUCCUAGGCAUUUGCCCGUCAUCGGCGACUCUGCGCUGGCCAGCCGCUAUGCCCGUUCUUCUUCUCUCGAUCGUAAAAAAUGGCUACAGCCUUCUGUGUUGAUGGAAAUCGGCAAUGGAACACUUGGCGAUGCCACGGAUCACGGCAUGAUGGCGUCUUCUCUGCCACCGGGAUACGCCGUCCAGCAAAUAACUCAACAGCCACCACGUCCGUCUUCAUCCUUUGCUUACGCCCCACAAUAUCAUACCCAACAACAACAGCAACAACAACCGCAGCAGCAGCAACAACAACAACAAGCGCAACGCCAAUUCAAAAUGUUGCGACUAGUCAAAGGGGAAACUGGCGAACUGGGCAUUUACAUCAAAAAGAAAUCAAGUCCCGAUUCUGGAUCGGUUGGUUACGUCAUUGCCGGCAUCGAACCAGGAGCUUUAGCACACAGGGAUGGCCGACUGCAAAUCGGCGACGAAAUCAUCAACGUUAACGGCUGUCGAUUGCGAGGCGUCGGACUGCAAGAAGCCCGCGACAUUCUUCAAAAUGCUCCCAGAGAAGUGGAUAUCGUCAUCGCUCGAUGCGCUGGAGAAACGGCGGUGAGCGGCAGGGGUCGUUCAACGACGGACGAGAGCGGGCCGGACACGGCCGACAACAGUCCGUCGCCGACUCCGAUUCCUCGAGUUUCCUCACCUUCUCCGCCUCGUUAUUACGAUGCAAGCGUCCGGUCUUCUCCAGCCUUGGCCUCGAUCCACAAGCUGACGCAAGCUGAUGCGGCGACAGUGCGGAAUAAGACGCCGCAUCAGCGUCGUUCGCGGUCAGCCCACCCGCAACGUAAAUCGAUGGGCCCGCUAAGCGGGACAGCGGAAACGUCGACUCCGGCCCCUACUUCCACGGCGACGUCGGUGGGUGAAAUGGGCUCUAGACGACCCAAAUCGUUGUCGCUCUUCAUCUACACGAUCACCUACGAGAAAGGGGCCGGCAAGAAAAGCUUGGGAUUCAGCGUGGUCGGCGGCCGGGAUUCACCCAAAGGAUCUAUGGGCAUCUACGUCAAAACCAUUUUUCCAAGUGGCCAGGCAGCCGAGGAAGGCACCUUAAGAGAAGGCGAUGAGAUUCUAGCCGUGAACGGUACGCCACUGCAGGGGCUGUCGCACGCCGAGGCCAUCGCUGUUUUCAAGUCUAUUCGAAACGGUCACGUUGUGGUUCACGCAGCGCGCCGGGACACGGCAAAUAGGAGCAAAUCCAAGUCGUGCGACGAACUCGACCGCGUCGAAUGACGUGCCGCCAAAUGGAAAUUUCUAGGAGAGAAAGUGAAGGAGGCCUCGACGCUCGGCUCGUCGUCUAGUCGCUCUGGGAACUAAAGAAAAACGAGAACAAACAAAUAACAAGAGAAUACGUGGCAAUAAAUAAAAAAAAAGACAAAGCAGACACAAGUACACGGUUAGAAAUUAGACGCAGGCGGCUCACCUGUACGAGUGUGCUACAGGUGCACUAUAAUAUUCCAUUAUUUCUCAUUUUAACUCUUAUCGUUUAAUGUCUUCCUUUUCUGUUUGUUGGAAUUGGUUUCGGUUCGCGUCACUGUGAAAUGAAACUCUUGUUACGUUUCAAUGAUCGAGUUUCCGUUAUGAAUACUUUGUUCGUCACUAGACUUGCCCUCCUCCGCAUUAAGUAUAUAUCACUUGUUUUGGUGUUGGGUUUAAUUAAAAGCCCGUCAGGCGUCAAUUAAGAAGAGGUUUGGCUUCCCAUCUAUCAAAGUUUUUUUUUGUUUUCAACUUUCUUUUUAAAAUGUAGUAUUAUAUAUUGGAAAUCCAUAAAAUGCUAUUAAACAUAUUGGACAACGCCCUAUUUUAGAUGGCAAUCGUUCAUAAUGGCUAAUUUAUAACAUGUAACCUGUUAUAUUGAAUCACAAUGUUUUCUUGUUUUUGUUUCCUAUAUGUCCCCCAGUGUUUUGUUAUCCAUUAUUGUUUUUUGUGUGCGUCAUUUGCAUAAGUGGACCUGCAAGAUGAAUGAGAAAUGAACUUACAUUUGAAUAAACCAUCUAUCAAAAAGA
Molecule: unclassified non-coding RNA, 4262 nt
Filed under: Daphnia magna
Lineage: Eukaryota; Metazoa; Arthropoda; Branchiopoda; Diplostraca; Daphniidae
Description: pDZ domain-containing protein 2, transcript variant X4
Source: RNAcentral